Molecule: long non-coding RNA, 809 nt
Organism: Vigna unguiculata (cowpea)
Lineage: Eukaryota; Viridiplantae; Streptophyta; Magnoliopsida; Fabales; Fabaceae
Source: RefSeq, a predicted model, not a curated record
UCCGGCCCGCCAGCCCGACACAUAAAAGGGGGUCGGGAUAGGGUUUUCAACCUGAAGACCCGUUAUACUCCGACCUAUUUUCUGUUCUGUUCUGACUAGGAUGGGUUGGAUCGGGCCAACUUGCAAUCCAUUUCACUACUAACAACAUGUGUUUUUUUCUUUUUGCUCUCCACUCCAGCCCGUCUGUACCGACUUCCAUCUUCUUCUUUGAUUCUUAUAUCUGCAACGACAAUCUCGCACAACGGGAGGGGACACCGCUGUUGAACCUUGUGUUCGACGAUCACCAAUUUCAGUGACGGUGAAGGCUGACGUGGUGGAGAGUGAAAAACAGUAGCAAACAAUUUGGGUUUGUGGAAUUACGACACAAAUUGGAAUGUGCUUGAAACUAUUGGAGGGUCCCAAGGUAUGGGCUAUGGUCAACUGAUAUCGACUAUUGCCACAAUGUGUUGAAGCACUUAUUUGUACUUCAAGUUAUAAGCAUGACUUUUGUGAAGAUAAUGAAGUACCUGACACAAUCACACAUGGAACAUUGGAGUGAGCUUCUUCCAUGGGUGGUUCUAAUACUCUUGGCAUUGGAGAACAUGAUGACUGCUGAUUAAGUUUCUGUUGAUGUAAUUGUGCAUUGUUUAUGAUGACAACCCAUUUGAUGCAUCUCGUUUUGCUUGUAAAAUUGGUGUAAUGUUUAUGAUGUUAAAUAUUUAGUUUAUGUUGGUUGGAUUUAAAUUACAUGGGAUAAUAGAACCUACACUUUUUGUGGUGUUAUUGGAUUGGAUAAUAGAAUAGAAACUGCAGGUUGUGGUGUUUUCGUA